UUUAGGGAACACGGCAGUAAAGGGGUGUUACCAAAGAAUUCUAUUAGAAGCGGGUGUAACCCACAGCGAUAUGAACCGUGUUCUCAGUUCUCUCUGGUUUAAGUAGGAGGAAAAACAGUCGUCUCUGUUGCUUCAUCUUGCAGUAACCUGCUUUUUUCAGGUCAUUCGGCUCUUAGGAGGUAACUUACAAAGGGUGGACGAGAGUCCUGGGAAUGUUGGAGGUGCAGGUAGAGCGGGACCCCAAGACAGGCGCCACCAUUGUUAGGUCAGUGGCUCCUGUGUCCACACCAGCUGGUGCUCCAAAGGCUACCACUGUCUUUGACGACGGCAGGAGGAGCAUCCACACUAUCAGUGGGUCAGCAGAUCAACCCUCGUCUGAAGAGCUCGGGCAUAUCUUGAGCGUCAUCGACGGGGUUGGGAUGAAAGUGCUGCUGAAUGAAGUUACAGUCACACCAACCAAGACAGAGACAGAGACAGUAGAAGCUAGCAAAGGCUCAGAGAAAAAAGGCCUGUCGCUUUACACCCAUCCCAGCACGUCAAAGGAAGACUACAGGCCGUUCGGCGGUUCUAGAAGCGAUGAUUUAGAAGUUGAGCUGAGCAGUGAGAAGUGUGUUGUAAGUGUGGGAAACACAGAUGAUAAAAACACGAUGGCAGUGAGAGACACUUUGGAAAAAGUAGAUAUCGUGGAGAAUCAGAUGUUGGAGGAAAGUCCUGUCACACUUGUGUUCUUGGGAUACGCUGAUGCUACAACUGACCAGAGUCAGAGCCAAGAGGAGCAGGAAGGCAUGAUCACUGUGGAACGAGUGAUAAUCACGGAGGAUGGAGAAGAGCAUGUCUUAGGACCUGAAAUGCCUCCUCCACUUUAUUCACCAUUAGACCAGGUAGCAGAGCAAGGCACCGGGAAAGAGUCCAAAGAUGAAGCAGUUCAGGAUAUUCCCUCGGGUGGAAACGGAGCUGGAGUCAAUGUGCAGGCAGAGGAAGGUGAUAAAGAGUCACAUAAUGCAUCUCCACCAGGCAUAACAGAGGGAAAAGGCAGUUCUAAGCACAGGAGCUGCCGGUGUUGCUCUGUCAUGUAAGAAAUGGUUGAAGAAAGACUCCCUGUAUACCAUGUAUACACUGCUUCCUUUAUAUGUUGCUUUAUAUGAGUGGGUUUAAUAGCAUACUACACCAUCACCCACCAUUCCACCUCCCCUUGAUAAUAAAAAUGGCAUUUAUAUAUUUGUGCAUCUUCUACAAAGCUCUACAAAGUGCACUAAAGUCCACUUCCACCCCCUACUGGACAGAAAUAAGAACUUCAAGCAAGCAAGCUUAUCCAACAGAAAAAAUCCACACUAAUUGUUUAGCCAUGGUUCCUGUAGAAAUGGGGGAAAAAAGUAUGCCAUCCUUUAGCAUGCACAUCCUAAUGCUUAUGGUGUCCCUCACUGUUUCUGGUAUUAAAAAUGCAACUGAGGGCUGAGAUUUUGAGUGUUUCUGAGUUUUGAUGCAUCACCUUUACACGUUGAGUUUCUUAAGACGGAUUCAGAGUCACCAUUUCUGUGUAAAAAUCCAAGCAUUAACAUUUUGAGAAAUUAUCUCACUCUUGCUCAGAGUUACAUGAGAAACAUUAAACUUUUCUAAUGUCUGUGCAGUUACUGUGAAGCUAAAACCAGCAUCUGGUUACUGCUGCGCUCGGGCUGACAUGGCAACAAGACAUUUUUAUCUCUCAGUUUCUGUACUGAUUAGGCAAACACUGAUUAGGUGUUAAUUAGAAGUUCUGGCUGGCAGAUUUUUUUUAAACCUCCUGGCAGUUGGGCUUGUUGGUUUCACGUUCAUGCCAAGUUAAUAAAAUUGGUUUGUAGAAUUUGUUUAAUAUUUUUCAGUGCCACUUAUCGUCUCAUCUAAUUCUUGGGGAAAGAAAGUAAAUAGCAUACCGCCCACCUUCUUGAACUAUGCCUUCACUAUUUUAGACCUGAUAUAUACAUUAAAAAAUACUUCUAGAAUUGUUUGAAACACUUGAAAAACCCUAUUGGCAAUACAAGAAGAACAAUAUGUUCUUCCUGUAUAUUCACUGUAGAAAAUCUGGAAAUCACUGUCUUUUUCUGACCUUUGUGUAAUUUUUUUUCUCACUGAAUUUAGAUAUAAAACUGAUUUAUGGCAGUGGAUGUUAAAUGGGAUAUGUUGUAAUAUGACAGAUUCCAGUUGGUGUAUUGAUUGAGUUUUACAAUUAGAUUUGAGAUGUACUCACAAUUUCACACUAAAGCAGCAAACAUGCAGACCUUCUGUAUUUGCUUCUGUAUCAUGCACUGAAAUACAUAAAAGAAUUGAGAUUUUCCAGCACAUUUUUUUGACUUUAAAUUCUCAAUUUAAAUUCACGUGACAUCUUUGUAUUUCUAAGAUUUCCUUUAUUUAAGGUGUUUAGGUGUGUAAAAACAGUAAUUAUACCAACAAAAAAUACUGACCACUGCUGUAGUACAAUUAACCAGCAAAUGGGUUUAUCAUAUGAAGAUAUCCUGUUAAUUUGAGAUGAUUAUGUUAUAUAAGCUGUUAAAUGUAACUUUACAUCAAAAUCUUGAAUAAACAACAGAUCUUCAAGUUUAAAGAAGGUAAACCCACAUAUUAAAUGACUGGAUUUAUCUUUAUUUAACACCAUAAAGUAUGUAAUUGUAAUAUACUGUUAAUUUAUGAUCAUAUUAAGUUUAAUAUGAUUCUUUAUAAAUAACUUAAGAUUGAAAUAUGAAAUGUUUCACAAAAGUUUAAUGUAAAAAAAAUUAAAUUCCUGGAUUUAAGUUGUAAAAAACAAUUUUAAAAUGGUUAACCUUGAAUAUAAUAUUAUUAUUAUAAUUAAAACAAGCUGCUGUCAUAUGUAAUGUGUUUUUUCCC
Oreochromis aureus is the source of this 2859-nucleotide long non-coding RNA. The record is from Ensembl. NCBI's taxonomy places the organism in Eukaryota, Metazoa, Chordata, Actinopteri, Cichliformes, Cichlidae.